Molecule: ribosomal RNA, 301 nt
Filed under: uncultured bacterium
Lineage: Bacteria
Description: partial 16S ribosomal RNA
Rfam family: Bacterial small subunit ribosomal RNA
Source: RNAcentral
CAGUAGCCGCGGUAAUACGAGGGGGGCAAGCGUUGUUCGGAAUUAUUGGGCGUAAAGGGUGCGUAGGCGGCUUGACAAGUCUUGUGUGAAAUCUAUGGGCUCAACCCAUAGUCUGCACGGGAAACUGUCGGGCUUGAGAAUGGGAGAGGUGAGUGGAAUUUCCGGUGUAGCGGUGAAAUGCGUAGAUAUCGGAAGGAACACCUGUGGCGAAAGCGGCUCACUGGACCAUUUCUGACGCUGAUGCACGAAAGCUAGGGGAGCAAACAGGAUUAGAUACCCCUGUAGUCCCUGUCUCUUAUAC